RNAcentral lists this unclassified non-coding RNA (331 nucleotides) under soil metagenome. RNAcentral describes it as "partial contains 5.8S ribosomal RNA, internal transcribed spacer 2, and large subunit ribosomal RNA". The stretch from base 1 to 120 matches the Rfam family "5.8S ribosomal RNA", at positions 35 to 154 of the family's 154-position model. The record is from RNAcentral.
GAUGAAGAACGUAGCGAAAUGCGAUAAGUAAUGUGAAUUGCAGAAUUCAGUGAAUCAUCGAAUCUUUGAACGCACAUUGCGCCCCCUGGUAUUCCGGGGGGCAUGCCUGUUCGAGCGUCAUUUCACCACUCAAGCCUCGCUUGGCAUUGGGCAACGCGGUCCGCCGCGUGCCUCAAAUCGACCGGCUGGGUCUUCUGUCCCCUAAGCGUUGUGGAAACUAUUCGCUAAAGGGUGUUCGGGAGGCUACGCCGUAAAACAACCCCAUUUCUAAGGUUGACCUCGGAUCAGGUAGGGAUACCCGCUGAACUUAAGCAUAUCAAUAAGCGGAGGA